CGGGUGAGUAACGCGCAUCCAACCUGCCGUCUACUCUUGGACAGCCUUCUGAAAGGAAGAUUAAUACAAGAUGGCAUCAUGAGUCCGCAUGUUCACAUGAUUAAAGGUAUUCCGGUAGACGAUGGGGAUGCGUUCCAUUAGAUAGUAGGCGGGGUAACGGCCCACCUAGUCUUCGAUGGAUAGGGGUUCUGAGAGGAAGGUCCCCCACAUUGGAACUGAGACACGGUCCAA
RNAcentral lists this ribosomal RNA (231 nucleotides) under uncultured bacterium. RNAcentral describes it as "partial 16S ribosomal RNA". It matches the Rfam family "Bacterial small subunit ribosomal RNA", at positions 103 to 334 of the family's 1533-position model. The record is from RNAcentral.